GACGAACGCUGGCGGCGUGCCUAACACAUGCAAGUCGAACGGAGUUAAGACUUCGGUUUUAACUUAGUGGCGAACGGGUGAGUAACGCGUGAGAAACCUGCCUUUCAGUGGGGGACAACAGUUGGAAACGACUGCUAAUACCGCAUAAUGUUGCGAGAGGGCAUCCUCUUGCAACCAAAGCUUUAUGUGCUGAAAGAUGGUCUCGCGUCUGAUUAGCUAGUUGGUGAGGUAACGGCUCACCAAGGCGACGAUCAGUAGCCGGUCUGAGAGGAUGAACGGCCACACUGGGACUGAGAUACGGCCCAA
Molecule: ribosomal RNA, 306 nt
Filed under: uncultured bacterium
Lineage: Bacteria
Description: bacterial SSU rRNA
Rfam family: Bacterial small subunit ribosomal RNA
Source: RNAcentral